This 104-nucleotide small nuclear RNA is filed under the name Myotis brandtii (Brandt's bat). Lineage: Eukaryota; Metazoa; Chordata; Mammalia; Chiroptera; Vespertilionidae. The record is from RNAcentral.
UUGCUCACUUUGGAAGCACAUAUACUAAAAUUGGAACAAUAUAGAGAUUAGCAUGGCCCCUGAACAAGGAUGACACGCAAAUUCAUGAAGCGUUCCAUAUUAAA